GGAGGUGGAGGUUGCUGUGAUCUGAGAUUGCCCCUGCCUCCAGCCUGGCAAUAGAGUGAGACUCCGUCUCAAAACAAAACAAAACAAAACAAAACAAAACAAAACAAAACAAGAAAACAACCAAUGGCAGCGCAAAAUCAUACAAGGACUAUUAGGGCAGUUAAUACCCUGCUUGGAUUCUUGCUAAGGUUACAGCAGUUUUACUUACUAUUUUUUUUGUACCAUCAGUGCAAAUAUUAACAUAUAAUUUAUGUUAUGAUGAAAAUAAUUCUAAUUUUGAAUUCUCUAAAAUAUAAUGGUCUCAGAAAUCCCCUCUAUGGUCCUUACUUUGAGAACAGCUGCUCUAAGAAAAGAAAGUACAGUUUACAAAAAAGGAAUAGAGUAAAUAUUUCCUUAUUAAACUCCUCUUAACUAACUUGCCAGUGAACCUAACUUCCAUUCCUUGUGUAACACCAUAGCUGAAUGUUAGGGCUUGUAGGUUGCCCAUUUCUUUACAUUUAUUUCUGUUCCCACCGGUAGAGUUACCUGCUGAGCAUGUGUCAGCUGUAUUUGUUCUCAAACCAGGUAAUACACUUUCACUAAUAUCUGUAAUAAGAUAGUUUUAAUAGUAUAAAUAGAUAAAGUAUGAGUUUAAAAAGGAAAAGCUAAUAUUUCUAAAACCAACUUAAAAACUUUGAAAUAACUUACUGUAAAAGAAAUUGCUGUCAUGAUACAGUGUGAAUGAAAUUUGUCAAAGAUUAGGGAAAAACUCACAAAUAUCUAGAAGGCUUCUGCGUUCCCUCACAGAUAUCUUUAAUUUCUUCCCAUAUUAUAAAAAAACCAAAGCUAGAAAUUGUGAUGAUGUGUUAUGUAUGUUCUUUGCUGGAAAGAACAAUGAAACUCCAUCUGCAGACCUAUAUUCAGAGAAUAGGCUGUGGCUCACCUUCAAAAGAUUAGUAAAUGUGUGUACACAUGGAUAUAUUUUAAGUUUAAAUACAAUUCAUAAAUUAAUGUCUGUCUGGUUUUAAAAAAAAUUUCCCACUUAGCAGCUGUCGCAGAGAACUGAUUUAUUACUGGUCAGGAUCACAUUAAAUAAGAUAGUUUCUCAGCUGCCAUGCAUGAACUAAGAGCAAAUUUCCAUUUGUUUUUAUGAUUAUAAAAUAUAAUCUCUUCCAUUAUUGUACUUUGUAUCUAAGGCUGGGUAAGACUGUGCUGGUAAAAGAUUUAGAUAACUUUUUAGAAAUACAGCUAUUACAGGUCAGCUUUUCUAAUGAUACAGGGACAACCUGAAGGUGCCAUAAACCUUUUCUUUUGGUGUGCUAGUGUUUUGUUGAAUUGGAAACUGCUUGAAAUAAACAAACUAUGUUGGGGCUUGGACAUUUUCACAGAAAUUUGCAUGACAUUUCAUGAAGAAUGAGAAUUAUAUCAAAUGUUCUGGUUAUCUAUAAAAAUAAGCUUAUUUGUUAAUCACACAUGUGAGGGUUUGCUGGCUGGUAGCAAUUCAUUGACAUCAGGUUUAUCAUGGGUUGGUGUAUAUACUGCCAUUUAUAGAUGCAUCAUGACAUGGUACAAUGACACAAGGUUGGGAAGCAAAUGACCUGGCUUCUCUACCUGGCUCACCAGUCAUCAUGAGUCAGUGAAGAUGGUAUUCCCAACUCCAUAGCAGUGAGUGUGCAGUAUGAAUUGUCUUUUUCCUAGAAGUAGGGAAUUCAUUCACACUCUCAUAGUCUGUUUACAAACGGUACACACUGGCAAGCUGACUGGCUAGAGCAAAGCAGCUUUGUCUGUUACUAGAUUGCUAAGAAAUUAAUUAGUGUUAGUCUUUUCAGCACCAGGAUGUAUCGCUAGUACAGUUAACCAAACACUGAAAUUAUUACUAAACAUAGAGGGAUCUCUCCAAAUUUCUGAUUUCAUAAUGAUCACAUAAUCAUUGCCAGCAGUGUGGCUGACAGUGAAUUAUAGGUGUUUUUCCUUCUUUCUGAAAAUAUUUAUUGAUCAUCUGCUAUGUGCCACACUGUUCUAUAAUUGGGGAUCCAAUUGUGAAUACAAUAGUUAAAAAAAAAAAAGCCCUGCCACUGUAGAACUUAAAUUCCAGGAGGGGAUACAUAGACAUAGAUAUGUUUGUACAUAUAUUUGCUAAAG
This is a long non-coding RNA of Sapajus apella (tufted capuchin), 2121 nucleotides long. RefSeq lists it as uncharacterized. NCBI's taxonomy places the organism in Eukaryota, Metazoa, Chordata, Mammalia, Primates, Cebidae. The transcript is spliced from 2 exons. The record is from RefSeq and is a predicted model, not a curated record.